Molecule: ribosomal RNA, 254 nt
Filed under: uncultured bacterium
Lineage: Bacteria
Description: partial 16S ribosomal RNA
Rfam family: Bacterial small subunit ribosomal RNA
Source: RNAcentral
UACGGAGGGUGCGAGCGUUGUCCGGAAUCAUUGGGCGUAAAGGGCGCGUAGGUGGCCCGGUCAGUUCGUGGUGAAAGCGCGGGGCUCAACCCUGCGUCGGCCAUGAAUACUGCCGCGACAGGAGCACUGUAGAGGCAGGCGGAAUUCCGGGUGUAGCGGUGGAAUGCGUAGAGAUCCGGAAGAACACCGGUGGCGAAGGCGGCCUGCUGGGCAGUUGCUGACACUGAGGCGCGACAGCGUGGGGAGCAAACAGG